AGUGAACGCUGGCGGUAGGCCUAACACAUGCAAGUCGAACGGCAGCACAGUAAGAGCUUGCUCUUACGGGUGGCGAGUGGCGGACGGGUGAGGAAUACAUCGGAAUCUACUUUGUCGUGGGGGAUAACGUAGGGAAACUGACGCUACUACCGCAUACAUCCUACGGGUGAAAGCAGGGGAGCUUCGGACCUUUCGCGAUUGAAUGAGCCGAUGUCGGAUUAGCUAGUUGGCGGGGUAAAGGCCCACCAAGGCAACGAUCCGUAGCGGGUCUGAGAGGAUGAUCAGCCACACUGGAACUGAGACACGGUCCAGACUCCUACGGGAGGCAGCAGUGGGGAAUAUUGGGCAAUGGGCGCAAGCCUGAUCCAGCCAUACCGCGUGGGUGAAGAAGGCCUUCGGGUUGUAAAACUCUUUUGUUGGGAAAGAAAAAAAGCGGGUUAAUACCCCGCUGUUUUGACGGUACCCAAAGAAUAAGCACCGGCUAACUUCGUG
RNAcentral lists this ribosomal RNA (492 nucleotides) under uncultured bacterium. RNAcentral's name for it is "partial 16S ribosomal RNA". It matches the Rfam family "Bacterial small subunit ribosomal RNA", at positions 29 to 507 of the family's 1533-position model. The record is from RNAcentral.